Molecule: ribosomal RNA, 376 nt
Filed under: uncultured organism
Description: partial 16S ribosomal RNA
Rfam family: Bacterial small subunit ribosomal RNA
Source: RNAcentral
GGAGGGGGCAAGCGUUAUUCGGAAUCAUUGGGCGUAAAGCGUGCGUAGGCGGCCCGACAAGUCCGGCGUGAAAUCUCCACUGCUCAACAGGGAGAGGCCGCCGGAAACUGUCAGGCUUGAGGACCGGAGAGGUCGGCGGAAUUCCCGGUGUAGCGGUGGAAUGCGUAGAUAUCGGGAAGAACACCAGUGGCGAAGGCGGCCGGCUGGACGGUUUCUGACGCUGAGGCACGAAAGUGUGGGGAGCGAACGGGAUUAGAUACCCCGGUAGUCCACACUGUAAACGUUGGACACUAGGUGUUGGGGGCAUCGACCCCCCCCCCCAGUGCCGCAGUUAACGCACUAAGUGUCCCGCCUGGGGAGUACGGUCGCAAGGCUG